ACUCAGGAAAUUCCAAGAGACAAGAGCUUCUGGUUUUCAGGACAAGAAUACUGUUGGCAAUGCAGUGGGUAGUAGCCUUUAAAUUUAAAUUCCAUCCUGUUUUUUCCCCUUCUCAAUUUUCGGACUAUCUUAAAAGAAGAAGGCUAUAAAUUUAUAAAGAAGGAAGUUACUGAAAUUGCUUUAAGAACUAUUGAGGAUCAGUUUGCUCACAUUGUCUCUCAAAUAGCUAAAGAGGAGGAAGAAUGCCUUGCAGAACAGAAUAUCCAAAAGCAGGUUCAGCUGGAGUUUAUUGACAUUGAGAGGAAGGUGUGUCUGAUGGAGGCAAUGAUGCAACAAACAAAAGCAUUAGCGGACAUGACAAGAUAUCCUAAUCAAAUUUGCUUUUGGAACUACAUAUGAAGUUCACCAAUUAAACAUAAAGUCUUGAUUAAAAAGAAGUAUGAUGUGAAAGAGAAAAUUUAUUGUUCAUAUUAUGCUAAUAAAUCAUAAUUAAUUAUCUCAGAGCAUUUUUCUACAUGUUUCUAACCCAUCUAAACGGAAAUCAGGUUGAUUGCUUCAAAUACCAGCUAUCUGUACUAGCUGUUUUCUCCGCUGGUUAAUUCUGAAUUUCAUUAUCAAGAAAAUGAGGGGAAAGAACAAAAUUCUGGAAGCUAAUAACUAAAAGAAGUUGAAAUCAUUUAUUGAAUUUUUAUACUGAUGGCCUUAGGAGUCAAAAUGAAUAUUCAUCUUUUGAUCUUUUCAUUGCUGGAAAAUAGAAUAAUCUGAAUACAGCUCAGGUCUGGCAAAGAAGUAUAGAUUUGAAUACUUUUACUGGCUUUUAUCAUCUUCUUUUUUUUCCUUGGAUGUGCUGCACCAGCUAACAUCGUUUGUGAUGAACACUAGUACUUGUAAAAUAUCUCCUGGACUUGAAUCAAGCAGACUUCUGAACUGGAAAAUAUAUGUGCAUCGCUCAGUGAGAAGUUGCAGAGGGGUUUAUAUGUCCCAGUUGUCAUAUAGUUAAUGUG
This is a non-coding RNA of Durio zibethinus, 1004 nucleotides long. The record is from RefSeq and is a predicted model, not a curated record. NCBI's taxonomy places the organism in Eukaryota, Viridiplantae, Streptophyta, Magnoliopsida, Malvales, Malvaceae.